RNAcentral lists this ribosomal RNA (697 nucleotides) under uncultured bacterium. RNAcentral describes it as "bacterial SSU rRNA". It matches the Rfam family "Bacterial small subunit ribosomal RNA", at positions 78 to 762 of the family's 1533-position model. The record is from RNAcentral.
AAACUAGAUACAAGCGAGCGGCGGACGGGUGAGUAACACGUGGGUAACCUGCCCAAGAGACUGGGAUAACACCUGGAAACAGAUGCUAAUACCGGAUAACAACACUAGACGCAUGUCUAGAGUUUGAAAGAUGGUUCUGCUAUCACUCUUGGAUGGACCUGCGGUGCAUUAGCUAGUUGGUAAGGUAACGGCUUACCAAGGCAAUGAUGCAUAGCCGAGUUGAGAGACUGAUCGGCCACAUUGGGACUGAGACACGGCCCAAACUCCUACGGGAGGCAGCAGUAGGGAAUCUUCCACAAUGGACGAAAGUCUGAUGGAGCAACGCCGCGUGAGUGAAGAAGGGUUUCGGCUCGUAAAGCUCUGUUGGUAGUGAAGAAAGAUAGAGGUAGUAACUGGCCUUUAUUUGACGGUAAUUACUUAGAAAGUCACGGCUAACUACGUGCCAGCAGCCGCGGUAAUACGUAGGUGGCAAGCGUUGUCCGGAUUUAUUGGGCGUAAAGCGAGUGCAGGCGGUUCAAUAAGUCUGAUGUGAAAGCCUUCGGCUCAACCGGAGAAUUGCAUCAGAAACUGUUGAACUUGAUUGCAGAACAGGAGAGUGGAACUCCAUGUGUAGCGGUGGAAUGCGUAGAUAUAUGGAAGAACACCAGUGGCGAAGGCGGCUCUCUGGUCUGCAACUGACGCUGAGGCUCGAAAGCAU